AGAAUCAACGCUGGCGGCGUGCCUAACACAUGCAAGUCGAACGAGAAAGUGGAGCAAGUCCACGAGUAAAGUGGCGCACGGGUGAGUAACACGUGACUAACCUACCCUUGAGUGGGGAAUAACCGUCGGGAAACCGGGGCUAAUACCGCAUAACACCUACGGGUCAAAGGAGCAAUUCGCUUAAGGAGGGGGUCGCGGCAGAUUAGUUAGUUGGCGGGGUAAUGGCCCACCAAGACGGUGAUCUGUAUCC
This 250-nucleotide ribosomal RNA is filed under the name uncultured bacterium. RNAcentral's name for it is "partial small subunit ribosomal RNA". It matches the Rfam family "Bacterial small subunit ribosomal RNA", at positions 26 to 288 of the family's 1533-position model. The record is from RNAcentral.